RNAcentral lists this long non-coding RNA (542 nucleotides) under Carica papaya (papaya). RNAcentral describes it as "long non-coding RNA (CPAP_LNC016022)". Lineage: Eukaryota; Viridiplantae; Streptophyta; Magnoliopsida; Brassicales; Caricaceae. The record is from RNAcentral.
AAAGGAUGUCAUUUUGAAGCUGGGCAUCAGGAGAAAAAAGGGCCAAAACGUUGUUAUUUUGGAAAACUCUAAAAUGACACUAUUUUGAUAAAGAAACAUGAAAAAAAGGGCAACCAAAGGCGUGUAUGCUUCUAGCAACCGAAGAAGAAGAAGAAAAAGCCUAUACCUACCUACACAUUGAAGAAGAAGGCAGAAAAGGCAUGCAUGGCUCUCUGUCCUUCCACCUAUUAAAAAAAGAAGAAAUUAAGAAGAAGGAAGAGAAACAUAGUCAAAUUAGUAGAGAAAGAGAGAGAAAGGAGCUCGGGGAGAAAGAGAGAGAGCAGGAGGGAAUAGACCAGACCAGGGGCGAGGCGGGUUUGGUGCAUGCAGCAUGCGAUACGACAGAUAGGGCCAUAACCAGAAGGCUGGAGAGAGAGAACACAUAACGGUGCAUGCAGAGAAUAAGGAGAACCAUGACAUUGGCCAGGCAAGGUUCCACGCAUCCACACCUUUCUCCAGCGCGAUUUUGCCAUAUCCGAGCUUGAUCUGCAUGUGCAGUUCGU